This 3391-nucleotide ribosomal RNA is filed under the name Plenodomus biglobosus/Leptosphaeria biglobosa 'brassicae' group. RNAcentral describes it as "eukaryotic LSU rRNA". It matches the Rfam family "Eukaryotic large subunit ribosomal RNA". Lineage: Eukaryota; Fungi; Ascomycota; Dothideomycetes; Pleosporales; Leptosphaeriaceae. The record is from RNAcentral. RNAcentral also lists the same sequence under 1 other name.
UUAAGCUCUACUUAGUGUUAGGUGUUUGUUCCACUUAGGACUCGCCUUAAAACAAUUAGUAGCUAGCACAUUGGCCUAGAGCGCAGCACAUUUUGCGCCUCUUAUUAUAGUUGUUAGCAUCUAUUAAGAUACUUUUUAAGCUCUUAACCUUAGAUUAGGUAGGGAUACCCGCUAAACUUAAGCAUAUUAAUAAGCGGAGGAAAAGAAACUAACAGGGAUUGCCCUAGUAACGGCGAGUGAAGUGGCAACAGCUUAAAUUUAAAAUCUAGCUCUUUUAGGGUCUGAGUUGUAAUUUGCAGAGGGCGCUUUAGCGUUAGUAGUAGUCUAAGUUCCUUAGAACAGGACGUUAUAGAGGGUGAGAAUCCUAUACAUAGUCGCUGGCCUUCGCCGUGUAAAGCCCCUUUAACAAGUUAAGUUGUUUAGGAAUGUAGCUCUAAAUAGGAGGUAAAUUUCUUCUAAAGCUAAAUACUAGCUAGAGACUAAUAGCGCACAAGUAGAGUAAUUAAAAGAUAAAAAGCACUUUAGAAAGAGAGUUAAAUAGCACGUGAAAUUGUUAAAAGGGAAGCGCUUGCAGCUAGACUUGCCUAUAGUUGCUUAUCUAGGCUUUUAUCUAGUGUACUCUUCUACAGGCAGGCUAGUAUUAGUUUAGGCAGUUAGAUAAAGGUCUCUGUCACGUACCUCCCUUUAGGGAGGCCUUAUAGGGGAGACAACAUGCAACUAGCCUAGACUAAGGUCUACGCAUCUGCUAGGAUGCUAGCGUAAUAGCUGUAAGCGGCCCGUCUUAAAAUAUAGACUAAGGAGUCUAAUAUCUAUGCGAGUGUUUAGGUGUUAAGCCUAGACGCGUAAUAAAAGUAAACAGAGGUAGGAACCCUUUUAGGGUGCACUAUUAACUAAUCCUAAUAUCUUUAGAAGGAUUUAAGUAAGAGCAUAGCUAUUAGGACCCAAAAGAUAGUAAACUAUGCUUAAAUAGGGUGAAGCUAGAGGAAACUCUAGUAGAGGCUCGCAGCGGUUCUAACGUGCAAAUUAAUUAUUAAAUUUAGGCAUAGGGGCGAAAGACUAAUUGAACUAUCUAGUAGCUAGUUCCUGCUAAAGUUUCCCUUAGGAUAGCAGUAACGUAUUCAGUUUUAUAAGGUAAAGCGAAUAAUUAGAGGCCUAGGGGUUAAAACAACCUUCACCUAUUCUUAAACUUUAAAUAUGUAAGAAGUCCUUAUUACUUAAUUAAACGUAGACACUUAAAUAUACUAUUACUAGUAGGCUAUUUUUGGUAAGCAGAACUAGCGAUGCGGGAUAAACUAAAUACAGGGUUAAGGUGCUAGAAUGCACGCUUAUUAGACACUACAAAAGGUGUUAGUUUAUCUAGACAGCAGGACAGUAGCUAUAGAAGUUAGAAUCCGCUAAGGAGUGUGUAACAACUUACCUGCUAAAUAAACUAGCCCUAAAAAUAGAUGGCGCUUAAGCGUGUUACCUAUACCCUGCCGCUAGGGCAAGAUUUAAGCCCUAGCGAGUAGGCAGGCGUAGAGGCUCGUGACGAAGCCUUAGGGGUAACCCUAGGUAGAACGGCCUCUAGUGCAGAUCUUAGUAGUAGUAGCAAAUACUUAAAUAAGAACUUUAAGGACUAAAGUAGGGAAAGGUUCCGUGUGAACAGCAGUUAGACACGGGUUAGUUAAUCCUAAGAGAUAGGGUAAUUCUAUUUUAAUAUUAGUGCUUGCGCCGCGCCCUUAAAAGGGAAGCUAGUUAAUAUUCUAGCACCUAGAUGUAGAUUCUCCGCGGCAACGCAACUAAGAGCAGAGACCUUAGCAGGAGCCCUAAGAAGAGUUCUCUUUUCUUCUUAAUGGUCUGUCACCCUAAAAUUGGUUUGUCUAGAGCUAGGGUUUAAUAGCUAGAAGAGCGCUGCACUUUUGCGGCGUUUAGUGCGCUCCUAAUAAGCCUUAAAAAUCUACUUAAAGAAAUAGUUUUUACGCUAGGUCGUACUUAUAACCGCAGCAGGUCUCUAAGGUAAAAAGCCUCUAGUUAAUAGAACAAUAUAGAUAAGGGAAGUUAGCAAAAUAGAUCUGUAACUUUAGGAAAAGGAUUAGCUCUAAGGGUUAGGUACGUUGGGCCUUAGGGAGAAGCCUCUAGCGUAGAAGGGCACUAACCGCAAGGUAGGCGCCUCUUAGCGCUGGGGUGCAGACACCCUUAGCAGGUUUCAGCCGUCUAGCGUACGUUUAACAACCAACUUAGAACUAGUAUAGAUAAGGGGAAUCUAACUGUCUAAUUAAAACAUAGCAUUGCGAUAGCUAGAAAGUGGUGUUAACGUAAUGUAAUUUCUGCCUAGUGCUCUAAAUAUUAAAGCAAAGAGAUUUGACUAAGCGCGGGUAAACAGCAGGAGUAACUAUAACUCUCUUAAGGUAGCUAAAUGCCUCGUUAUCUAAUUAGUAACGCGCAUAAAUAGAUUAACGAGAUUCCUACUAUCCCUAUCUACUAUCUAGCGAAACCACAGCUAAGGGAACAGGCUUAGCUAAAUUAGCGGGGAAAGAAGACCCUGUUAAGCUUAACUCUAGUUUAACAUUGUGAAAAGAUAUAGGGGGUGUAGAAUAGGUGGGAGCUUUAGCGCUAGUAAAAUACCACUACCCUUAUCGUUUUUUUACUUAUUUGAUAAAGCGGAGCUAGGCCUUACUACCUAACUUCUAGCGUUUAAGGUCCUUUGUAGGCUAAUCUAGGUUAAAGACAUUAUUAGGUAGGGAGUUUAGCUAGGGCGGCACAUCUAUUAAACCAUAACGCAGGUGUCCUAAGGGGGACUUAUAGAGAAUAGAAAUCUCUAGUAGAGCAAAAGGGCAAAAGAUCCCCUUGAUUUUGAUUUUUAGUGUGAAUAUAAACCAUAAAAGUGUAGCCUAUUAAUCCUUUAGUCCCUUAAAAUUUAAGGCUAGAGGUGCUAGAAAAGUUACUAUAGGGAUAACUAGCUUGUGGCAGCCAAGCGUUCAUAGCGACGUUGCUUUUUAAUCCUUCGAUGUUGGCUCUUCCUAUUAUACCAAAGCAGAAUUUGGUAAGCGUUAGAUUGUUUACCUACUAAUAGGGAACGUAAGCUAGGUUUAGACCGUUGUAAGAUAGGUUAGUUUUACCCUACUAAUAACCUUGCCCUAAUAGUAAUACCGCUUAGUACGAGAGGAACCGCGGUUUUAGAUAAUUGGUUUUUGCGGCUGUCUAACUAGGUAUUGCCGCGAAGCUACUAUCUACUAGAUUAUGGCUAAACGCCUCUAAGUUAGAAUCUAUACUAGAACAGGGUAAUUUCCGCCUGCACUAGUUAGAUACAAAUAGGCCUUUAGCCCAGAACCUUACUAGAUCGGCGUUGGCAGCCCUAUUAAAGUUAGGGUUGUUAGCUAGUGUAUUACAAUUAUAUAGUGCGCAGGAUUAA